UACAGAGGUCUCAAGCGUUGUUCGGAUUCAUUGGGCGUAAAGGGUGCGUAGGUGGCGGGGUAAGUCGGAUGUGAAAUCUCAGGGCUCAACCCUGAAACUGCAUUCGAUACUGCCUUGCUCGAGGACUGGAGAGGAGAUUGGAAUUCACGGUGUAGCAGUGAAAUGCGUAGAUAUCGUGAGGAAGACCAGUGGCGAAGGCGGAUCUCUGGACAGUUCCUGACACUGAGGCACGAAGGCCGGGGGAGCAAACGGG
RNAcentral lists this ribosomal RNA (253 nucleotides) under uncultured bacterium. RNAcentral's name for it is "partial 16S ribosomal RNA". It matches the Rfam family "Bacterial small subunit ribosomal RNA", at positions 524 to 776 of the family's 1533-position model. The record is from RNAcentral.